CCUACGGGAGGCAGCAGUGGGGAAUAUUGGGCAAUGGGCGCAAGCCUGACCCAGCAACGCCGCGUGAAGGAAGAAGGCUUUCGGGUUUUAAACUUCUUUUGUCAGGGACGAAGCAAGUGACGGUACCUGACGAAUAAGCCACGGCUAACUACGUGCCAGCAGCCGCGGUAAUACGUAGGUGGCAAGCGUUAUCCGGAUUUACUGGGUGUAAAGGGCGUGUAGGCGGGGAGGCAAGUCAGAUGUGAAAGUCACGGGCUCAACCUGUGGCCUGCAUUUGACACUGUUUUUCUUGAGUACUGGAGAGGCAGACGGAAUUCCUAGUGUAGCGGUGAAAUGCGUAGAUAUUAGGAGGAACACCAGUGGCGAAGGCGGUCUGCUGGACAGUAACUGACGCUGAGGCGCGAAAGCGUGGGGAGCAAACAGGAUUAGAUACCCUAGUAGUC
Molecule: ribosomal RNA, 443 nt
Filed under: uncultured bacterium
Lineage: Bacteria
Description: partial 16S ribosomal RNA
Rfam family: Bacterial small subunit ribosomal RNA
Source: RNAcentral